This is a small nuclear RNA of Ctenocephalides felis (cat flea), 141 nucleotides long. RefSeq annotates it as U4 spliceosomal RNA. The transcript has a single exon. NCBI's taxonomy places the organism in Eukaryota, Metazoa, Arthropoda, Insecta, Siphonaptera, Pulicidae. The record is from RefSeq and is a predicted model, not a curated record.
AGCUUUGCGCAGUGGCGAUAUCGUAACCAAUGAGGUUUAUCCGAGGUGCGAUUAUUGCUAGUUGAAAACUUUUACCAAUACCCCGCCGAGACCACGUGAAAUACCGUGGGCUAUGGCAAUUUUUGGAGGGUCCGAAAGGAC